UGUGUGUGUGUGUGUGUGUGUGUGUGUGUGUGUGUGUGUGUGUGUGUGUGUGAGAGAGGGAUAACUUUUCACAGUAUGAAGCAUAGUUGGCCCUUUGCAAGUGUAUUUAAUGACAAGCUUCCAGACUGAUCGAUUUGCAGCGGUAACUAUGCUGUGUGUUAACUGUGGUGUGGUAACUAUGGUGUGGUAACUGUGGUGUGGUAACUGUGGUGUGGUAACUGUGGUGUGGUAACUGUGGUGUGGUAACUGUGGUGUGGUAACUGUGGUGUGGUAACUGUGGUGUGUUAACUGUGGUGUGUUAACUGUGGUGUGGUAACUGUGGUGUGGUAACUGUGGUGUGUAAACUGUGGUGUGGUAACUAUGCUGUGAGUAAACUGUGGUGCGUUAACUAUGCUGUGUGUUAACUGUGGUGUGGUAACUAUGCUGUGAGUAAACUGUGGUGUGGUAACUAUGCUGUGAGU
Long non-coding RNA from Oncorhynchus tshawytscha (Chinook salmon), 461 nucleotides. NCBI's taxonomy places the organism in Eukaryota, Metazoa, Chordata, Actinopteri, Salmoniformes, Salmonidae. The record is from Ensembl.